This 68-nucleotide transfer RNA is filed under the name Petaurista caniceps (gray-headed giant flying squirrel). Its description in RNAcentral is "Petaurista elegans caniceps tRNA-Trp". Lineage: Eukaryota; Metazoa; Chordata; Mammalia; Rodentia; Sciuridae. The record is from RNAcentral.
AGGAGUUUAGGUUAAAUCUAGACCAAGAGCCUUCAAAGCCCUAAGUAAAUAUCUUUGUUUAACUCCUG